This is a long non-coding RNA of Labeo rohita (rohu), 1308 nucleotides long. RefSeq lists it as uncharacterized. The record is from RefSeq and is a predicted model, not a curated record. NCBI's taxonomy places the organism in Eukaryota, Metazoa, Chordata, Actinopteri, Cypriniformes, Cyprinidae. The transcript is spliced from 3 exons.
UUUUGUUGUUUUUAGGUUGUGUUGCAAAGUGACCAAAAUCCAACGUUGAGUCAACGUCUUAAGCCAACGUCAUAUUGAUGUCAAACACUGACAUUUAGUCGUCAGGUAUGGCAACCAAAACCCAACGUCUCCUAGACGUCAUAAUUGUAACGUCCACCCAACGUCAAAUUCUGACAUCAUUAGACGUUGAUCUUUUGUUAGUUUUAGGUUGUGGCAUUAACUAACCAAAAUCCAACGUCGAGGCAACGUCUCAAGCCAACGUCAUAUUGAUUUCAAAUACUGACAUUUAGUUGUCAGGUAUGGCAACCAAAACCCAACAUCUCCUAGACGUCAUAAUUGUAACGUCCAACCAACGUCAAAUUCUGACAUCAUUAGACAUUGAUCUUUUGUUAGUUUUAGGUUGUGGCAUUAACUAACCAAAAUCCAACGUCUCAAGCCAACGUCAUAUUGAUGUCAAAUAUUGACAUUUAGUCGUCAGGUAUGGCAACCAAAACCCAACGUCAUCUAGAUGUCAUAAUUGUAACGUCCACCCAACGUCAAAUUCUGACAUCAUUAGACGUUGAUCUUUCAUUAGUUUUAGGUUGUGGCAUUAACUAACCAAAAUCCAACGUCGAGGCAACGUCUCAAGCCAACGUCAUACUGAUGUCAAAUACUGACAUUUAGUCGUCAGGUAUGGCAACCAAAACCCAACGUCUCCUAGACGUCAUAAUUGUAACGUCCACCCAACGUCAAAUUCUGACAUCAUUAGACGUUAAUCUUUUGUAAGUUUUAGGUUGUGGCAUUAACUAACCAAAAUCCAACGUCGAACCAGUGUCUGAAGUCAACGUCAUAUUUAUGUCAAAUACUGACAUUUAGUCGUCAGGUAUGGCAACCAAAACCCGACGUCUCCUAGAUGUCAUAAUUGUAACAUCCACCCAACGUCAAAUUCUGACAUCAUUAGACGUUGAUCUUUUGUUAGUUUUAGGUUGGGGCAUUAACUAACCAACAUCCAACGUCGAGCCAACGUCUCAAGCCAACGUCAUAUUGAUGUCAAAUACUGACAUUUAGUCGUCAGGUAUGGCAAACAAAACCCAACGUCUCCUAGACGUCAUAAUUGUAACAUCCACCCACCGUCAAAUUCUGACAUCAUUAGACGUUGAUCUUUCAUUAGUUUUAGGUUGUGGCAUUAACUAACCAACAUCCAACGUCGAGCCAACGUCUCAAGCCAACGUCAUACUGAUGUCAAAUACUGACAUUUAGUCGUCAGGUAUUAGACAUUGAUCUUUCGUUAGUUUUAGGUUGUAGCAUUUACUAAUACUAACAUUUAGU